RNAcentral lists this long non-coding RNA (1322 nucleotides) under Vulpes vulpes (red fox). RNAcentral's name for it is "lncRNA (ENSVVUG00000014186.1)". The record is from RNAcentral. Lineage: Eukaryota; Metazoa; Chordata; Mammalia; Carnivora; Canidae.
GGGAUGGACACGGACUCCCUGCCCCAAGCGCGCUACCUAGCGGGCCUCGCGCCCUCACCUGGCCGCGGAGGUAAGGGCCCUUCAUUUCCCAGCCCCUCUGCAAAGCCCGCAUUGGCAGAGGUGCGCCCUUCAUCACGUUCUGCCUUUGUUCCGGCGUCGGGGCUGCUCCCCGGGCGCUGCCCCUUAGCCGGGGGAGCGGCGUGAUUAAUGCACCGGCUCCGGGCCGGCCCCCAGGACCCCCCCCCCCCCCCCCCNNNNAGGGCGCGCGCUCUCGCCGCCGUGGCUGCGCCUUUAACCAACCGCCUUGGCCGCUCCGCCCGCGCCGCCGCCCGCAGCUGGGCCUCCCGGCGGCCUGGCCGACCGCGUCCUGCGCCCUGGGACCGGGCAGGGUGCGUUCAUUACUCAUCUGUGACAACAGCCCAUCGAGUAAGAUGUAGAACUCAAUUCCAGCCGAGAGACCUAUAAUAUCGGAGUCAGGAGGUUAUCGCUGGGGGACCUGCACCUUGCUCCCGGCCUCUCUUAUCGAGAGCUUUACAGCCUCUGCUGGGGCCAGCAUCUUGUGCAGCUGAGGGCGGCAGAUCUGGCCUCAGAUUAGCAUACAUCUUCCUAAGUGGUACUGCAUUUAAUUAAAAAGGAAGGAAAGGCCGCGUCCUGACCGCUUGUGCCGCAGCCCUCCCAGCAGAGGCGAUCUCUCAGGGGUGCGGGGGCGUCCUCUCCCGCACCGCCCCCGGCCCGGCCCGGACCUGCCGGGCACACCUGGUGCUCACGUCGGACCUGCCGGGCGCACCUGGCGCUCACGUCGGACCUGCCGGACGCACCUGGCGCUCAGUCGGACCAGCGGGCACACCUGGUGCUCACGUCGGACCUGCCGGACGCACCUGGCGCUCACGUCGGACCUGCCGGACGCACCUGGCACUCAGUCGGACCAGCGGGCACACCCGGUGCUCACGUCGGACCUGCCGGGCGCACCUGGCGCUCACGUCGGACCUGCCGGAUGCACCUGGCGCUCAGUCGGACCUGCCGGGCGCACCUGGCGCUCACGUCGGACCUGCCGGAUGCACCUGGCGCUCACGUCGGACCAGCGGGCACACCUGGCGCUCACGUCGGACCAGCGGGCACACCUGGCACUCAUGUCGGACCUGCCGGGCGCACCUGGCGCUCACGUCGGACCAGCGGGCACACCUGGAGCUCACGUAGGCGACAACGUUUUUGCAGCUGUGCUGUCAAGCCCCAUCUCUUCCGUUCUGGCCAUUUCUGGUUUCCCUUUGAGGAGUGAUGUGUUUGAGCUUCUCGCUUUGACGUUGUCAUGUGUAGGUCACUAA